UACGUAGGGCGCAAGCGUUGUCCGGAAUUAUUGGGCGUAAAGAGCUCGUAGGUGGUUUGUCGCGUCUGCUGUGAAAACCCGAGGCUCAACCUCGGGCCUGCAGUGGGUACGGGCAGACUAGAGUGCGGUAGGGGAGACUGGAAUUCCUGGUGUAGCGGUGGAAUGCGCAGAUAUCAGGAGGAACACCGAUGGCGAAGGCAGGUCUCUGGGCCGCAACUGACGCUGAGGAGCGAAAGCAUGGGUAGCGAACAGGAUUAGAUACCCGU
This 266-nucleotide ribosomal RNA is filed under the name uncultured prokaryote. Its description in RNAcentral is "partial 16S ribosomal RNA". It matches the Rfam family "Bacterial small subunit ribosomal RNA", at positions 524 to 789 of the family's 1533-position model. The record is from RNAcentral.